AGGGGAAUAAGUAAUAAAAGAAGCUGCUAACUAUCUUUUAGAGCGGUUAAAAUCCGUUCAUCCCCUAC
RNAcentral lists this transfer RNA (68 nucleotides) under Nysius plebeius. Its description in RNAcentral is "tRNA-Ser". The record is from RNAcentral. Lineage: Eukaryota; Metazoa; Arthropoda; Insecta; Hemiptera; Lygaeidae.